Molecule: ribosomal RNA, 301 nt
Filed under: uncultured bacterium
Lineage: Bacteria
Description: partial 16S ribosomal RNA
Rfam family: Bacterial small subunit ribosomal RNA
Source: RNAcentral
CAGUCGCCGCGGGAAUACAGAGGGUGCGAGCGUUAAUCGGAUUUACUGGGCGUAAAGCGUGCGUAGGCGGCUUUUUAAGUCGGAUGUGAAAUCCCUGAGCUUAACUUAGGAAUUGCAUUCGAUACUGGGAAGCUAGAGUAUGGGAGAGGAUGGUAGAAUUCCAGGUGUAGCGGUGAAAUGCGUAGAGAUCUGGAGGAAUACCGAUGGCGAAGGCAGCCAUCUGGCCUAAUACUGACGCUGAGGUACGAAAGCAUGGGGAGCAAACAGGAUUAGAUACCCCCGUAGUCCCUGUCUUUAUACA